RNA transcript from Bombus huntii, 4623 nucleotides. It is a transcript of the gene named venom serine protease Bi-VSP-like, with no coding region annotated. Lineage: Eukaryota; Metazoa; Arthropoda; Insecta; Hymenoptera; Apidae. The transcript has 10 exons. The record is from RefSeq and is a predicted model, not a curated record.
UCACUGGCGAGAUCGAGAAAAUGUAUCGGCAAUUCCUCGUACGACCAGAGGAUCGGAAAUAUCAAAGGAUAUUAUGGCGCAGCGCGAGUGGAGAAACAGAAACAUAUGAGCUUAACACCGUAAUACUCUUAUCAUAGAAAUAGAAGCAGUCCUCAAUUCCCGCCCGCUAACUCCUAUCUCCACCGAUCCAAAUGAUCUCCUAGCCCUCACUCCCGGACAUUUCCUCAUUGGCGAUUCAUUAAUGUGCUUACGUGAUCGAGAUUUCAGAGACAUUCCAUCGAACCGACUCUCCAAAUGGCAGCAUAUCCAACAGCUUAAACAACAUUUUUGGAACCGCUGGCAUAAGGAGUAUUUGAACGAGCUAACCAACCGCAAUAAAUGGAGCAAGGGUGGACACAGCAUCCAAAAGGGCACAAUCGUCAUCCUCAGAGAGGACAACGUUCCCUCCAUGCAUUGGCCUCUGGGCCGAGUUAUCAAGGUUCAUUCAGGCGCCGAUGGUGUCAUCCGGACAGCUACAGUUCAGACGGCAAAGAGCAUUUUGGAUCGGGGCGUCAAAAGGCUUGUCCCACUGCCAAUUCAACCCGAUCUCGAGAAACCCGAACAACUAGCCACCGAGCCGAAAUAAGAUGGGAACUUCAACCACACCUCGCUAGUUUGAUCGGUACCCUCUCAACGGGGGGAGAAUGUUACGCCAUGCGGCUUACCAUAGGUCAUAUUCUUAACUAUCGAUCGCGGCACUAUAAUGUCGCAGACGGAUCGUCGCGUCUGCCCGGCAAACAAACAUUGUAGUGGCAAGCGCAUGGUUCAUUAAGCAGGGCGACUUCCAGAAACGUCGACUCGUGGCCCGUAUUUUACCUCGCAGUAAAAGAAUGUGGCGUGAUCCGAACGUAGUGGGGGUCGCCUUCCAGAAAAAACGAAAAAAAUCGAAAGGCGUUCAGAACUUUUCGAGAAGUCGAACCGUCAACACAUGUGGGCAAUCCGGUGGACUUGAUCGGCUUUUUACUUCGAAAGUUGAGUAAUCGGUGUCGCUUUCUUACGCAUCUUUGAACUGUAUAAAUGUUUUAAAAUUGUUUGAUCCAGAAUGUACCACACCGGACAAUCAAGAAGGCAGGUGCCUUGACUACAGAAAAUGUAAACCUCUGCAAGAAAUAUGGCAGAUACAGUACCGUACAGCCACCGAUUUUUAUAGACGAUCAGUGUGCAGAUACCAGGUCAAUGUUACGAUCGUUUGCUGUCCGAACGAUCCAAACAAAGAGAAGAGAGAAAUUUUAAUAAAAACUGUGUAUAAGUAUAAGGCUUUGCGACCACCAUACUGUGGUUUUAGCAACGUCUCUCAUACCAGGGUGGUCGAUGGUAAACCAGCUGAACUUGGAAGAGUAUCUUUUUGCUUGAAAUAAAAAAUUGAUAUAGGAGUAAUAAUAUGGAUAGAGAUCAAAAACUGUUAGGGCAGAAAUUACACGUUUGAACUUUAUAGUUCAGUAUAGUUCAAAUAGAAAUUAUAUAGAAUUAUUUAAUAAUUUGUAUUCCACUGGAAUAAAAAUUUAAUUUCUGUCUUUAUCAAAUCUCUAUUUCAGAGUAUUUGUACGUAUGUACUUAUCGUCUGCUGUAUGAUCGAAUAUCGAAUAGGUAAUAAUCGUUGUUACUCGUUAUGUGAGAAAAAAUUAUGUAUAUUCACAACUAUGACUAUUGCAUUUUAGGCGCUUGGCCAUGGAUCGCUGCAUUAGGUUUUCGUAAUCCCCGAAACCCAGACAAACCACUAUGGAAGUGCGGAGGUUCCCUGAUAUCGGCUAGGCAUGUUUUGACCGCAGCACAUUGUGCACAUAUGGAUGGAAUAGAAAACAUACACAAUCAUAAUAUUGCCAUUCUUAGAUAGGUGGAGGAGGUGCCAUUUUCGAGUAAGUCCUCAAAUAUAUAUAUAUAUAUGCUAUUGAGUAUUACUGAAGUAUCAUAUCCUGAAAUUUCUUACUGUACACAUAUAUUGUGUCAUAAAGCGUGUACAAUUCUUUCUCAUACUUUUGGUCAUUCGUUUCCUGCAUUUUCAUUUAUUUUUUUAUUUUUCAGGGUACGUAUAUCCCAUUUGUACGAAAGAGCAACUUCGUCGGCUAUAACCCCCUUGUUGCUGGAUGGGGAGCGUUAAGAUAUAGCAAGUGAUAUCAAUUUUAUAAUAAAAUUAAACAGUUCCAGUCUUAAAUAUCUUUCUCAUUUUCUUCGUAGGACGACCACGACCUAAUGCAUUAAUGGAAGUACAAAUGCCAGUGAUUAAGAACGCCGAAUGCAAAAUAGCUUAUUCCAAAUUUCCUAAUGCACCUGAUAUCACUGAUGGUAUAAUAUGCGCCGAACAUGCUCAGGGUGGAGAGGAUUCUUGUACGGUAUUGUGUCUUAUGCUUAUAAGUGUGGCACAGCUGGGUAUCCCAGCGUUUACACUAGGGUCACAUCGUACCUUGACUUCAUUCUCCAAGCGAUGCAAUAAUAUGAUAUUACUGUUCCAUAAAUAUCAUUGUGUAAAAAACGUAAAGUUGGAUUUUCUUAUUGUGGAGAUAAGAAACAGCUCAAAUUUACAUUGUUUUGUACGUUACAAAUUAUAGGCUUAAAAUGUACGAAAUGUAACUUUGAAACGACACUAAUUUUUUACGCACGAUAAACCUCCACGACUUAGAUUAUAGAUUCCUAUACGACUCUCAGUAAAAAUUUAUCCGCACUCCAGAUAUAUAAAACUUCUGUCGACCGUAUUGAUCCAUCUGCACUCUUCGUAUGACGUCAAUAUCUGUUCAGUGCUGCUGCGCAGGUUUCUUUGUGUUACGUCAAUUCGUUUGUGACCGUUGCGCGAGUAAUGGCGCUUUGCAAUGGUGAUUUGCAGGAAAACAGUGCAGGAUGCUGUGAUUCGUUUCUUGUGGUCGGAGGUUAUGUUUGAUGCCUAUAUUUAUCAAAGAUUUAAUGCACAUUAUGGAGAAAGUGUUUUGUCACGAAGUGUGUUUGAAUGGGCACAAAAGUUCAAAGAAGAUCGCACAAGUGUUAUGAAAAAACAGCUGGACGCCCGUCCACAUCCACGAUGACAACAUUGAACGUGCUCAUGAACUUAUGCUCUAUGGAAUAGACGAGUGACACUGGAUAAUGUGGCAAAUCAUUUGCAAAUCAGCCACGGCUCUGCUUAUGCAAUAGUGCACGACAGAUUUGGAUUUUAAAAAGUUUGUGCGAGAUGGAUGCCGAAAAAGCUGAUGAAAAGGUGAAGACGACGAUGCAUUCGUGGUUCGCAGCUCAGCCCAAAACAUUUUUUAAUGAGAAAAUAUAAAGGUCCUUCGGCAAAUGGACAAAGUGUAUACAGAAAUCGAGUGAUUAUGUCAAAAAAUGAUGUAUGUCUUUUUUGACAAUUGCUUAAAAUAAAUUCUACACCGACAGAGCGGGCUGUUAAUCUAGAGGCUGGAGUACAAAGAAGUGGCACAAUGAUGUGGGCUGAUGACAUUUAUAAUUAUCAAGGAAUCACCCCUACAUUCGCUCAGAAUUUUAAUGAAACUGUCCCUUGGGAAGGAAGAACUGAUACCUUGAUAUCACGGUUUGUACAUCCUAUAUAUACGACAAAUUUUAGAACAUUAUAUAACGAAGAACCAGAUCGUCGUGGCCAUGUGAUGUGAAUAAAAGGACUUGAAUUUGAUGAUAUUUUUAUAAUGUUAGAUAACAUAACUAAGUAUCUUCACAGUAAGAUAGGAUGACAUGGUUUACAUGAUCUUAAUGUUGUUCACUCGAGUGAUGAUAUUAUAAGGAAAAGUGUAAUAUCACAGGAUAUUUAUGUUUAGUAACCAGUAAUUCAGAGAUUGGUAUUCAUGGUUACUAUAACGAGGCUGUAGAAACGCACCCUUUCUUCUUUGCAAAUGGUCCUGUAUUUAUGUCUAAGCCGAAACUGGAACCUCUGAAUAAUUUAGAUUUAUUCUUGUUAUUUUCUAAAAUACUUAUCUACAGUAUACCAUAAGGAAUGAUACCGUAUCGCACCUAAUCAAGUGCCUUAAGAAACAUCAACAGGAUAUCACAGUAAUCCCUUAUCGACUGAUAUUUGUAGCCACUACAAUAUCUAUGACACUGGUAGUAAUUAUGAGAACAAUAAUGAUGUGUUCUAUAAGAGGAAAUGAUGAUUAGGAACAAAAACUUACAGGAGAUAUCAUGCGGUGGAUGGAUAAUAUGUAAAAAAUAUUAAGCAGCAUAUGAAUUUUCAUAUUGCGUAGAGAUAACAAAAUGAAUUUUAAAAAAUGUCGACACGGUAAUAAGAAAUAGCAUCAUGACAAAGAAUAUAUAAAGACAGUUUCAUUUUUUAUAAAUAAAAAUUUGUUGUUCCAGAUUUUGAAAUACAGCGAAACGUUUAAUUAGUAUCUUAAUAUCUUUAAAUAAUUAUUAUUUUAGAAUCAAUUGUAAUUGUAUCAUACGUACUUUUGAAUUCGUGCAAGAACAUAUGUAAUUUUGAAGUAGUUAUUAUUAGGAAAUUGUUAGACGCGAACAGUAUGCGAAAAGUUAGUAUGCAGUGUAAUAAUUAUCAAUCAAAACACAAGAAUUAAAUUCUUGAGGAAAAAAUUUCCGGAAUUUCUUAUUUACAUGAUUAUAAAGAAAUCCAUAAUAAAAAGGAGCUGCUUUCUAAUA